Molecule: transfer RNA, 72 nt
Organism: Trichoderma atroviride IMI 206040
Lineage: Eukaryota; Fungi; Ascomycota; Sordariomycetes; Hypocreales; Hypocreaceae
Rfam family: tRNA
About the family: Transfer RNA (tRNA) molecules are approximately 80 nucleotides in length. Their secondary structure includes four short double-helical elements and three loops (D, anti-codon, and T loops).
Source: Rfam
GGUUCUAUGGUCUAGUGGCUAUGACUGCGGAUUCUGAUUCCGCCAGCGAGGGUUCGAUUCCCUCUAGAACCU